This 430-nucleotide ribosomal RNA is filed under the name uncultured bacterium. RNAcentral's name for it is "partial 16S ribosomal RNA". It matches the Rfam family "Bacterial small subunit ribosomal RNA", at positions 30 to 506 of the family's 1533-position model. The record is from RNAcentral.
AACGAACGCUGGCGGCAGGCUUAACACAUGCAAGUCGAGCGCCCCGCAAGGGGAGCGGCAGACGGGUGAGUAACGCGUGGGAACGUACCUUUUGGUUCGGAACAACUCCGGGAAACUGGAGCUAAUACCGGAUAAGCCCUAACGGGGAAAGAUUUAUCGCCGAAAGAUCGGCCCGCGUCUGAUUAGCUAGUUGGUGAGGUAACGGCUCACCAAGGCGACGAUCAGUAGCUGGUCUGAGAGGAUGAUCAGCCACACUGGGACUGAGACACGGCCCAGACUCAGAGGGGAGGCAGAAGGGGGGAAAAUGGGAAAAGGGGAGAAAGCCUGACCCAGCCAGGCCGGGGGGGGGAAGAAGGCCGUAGGGUUGAAAAGCUCUUUUGUCCGGGAAGAAAAUGACGGUAACGGAAGAAUAAGCCCCGGAUAAUUUGGU